RNAcentral lists this ribosomal RNA (497 nucleotides) under uncultured bacterium. RNAcentral describes it as "partial 16S ribosomal RNA". It matches the Rfam family "Bacterial small subunit ribosomal RNA", at positions 28 to 507 of the family's 1533-position model. The record is from RNAcentral.
GAUGAACGCUGGCGGCGUGCCUAAUACAUGCAAGUCGAGCGAACAGACGAGGAGCUUGCUCCUCUGACGUUAGCGGCGGACGGGUGAGUAACACGUGGAUAACCUACCUAUAAGACUGGGAUAACUUCGGGAAACCGGAGCUAAUACCGGAUAAUAUAUUGAACCGCAUGGUUCAAUAGUGAAAGACGGUUUUGCUGUCACUUAUAGAUGGUUCCGGGCCGCAUUAGCUAGUUGGUAAGGUAACGGCUUACCAAGGCAACGAUGCGUAGCCGACCUGAGAGGGUGAUCGGCCACACUGGAACUGAGACACGGUCCAGACUCCUACGGGAGGCAGCAGUAGGGAAUCUUCCGCAAUGGGCGAAAGCUUGACGGAGCAACGCCGCGUGAGUGAUGAAGGUCUUCGGAUCGUAAAACUCUGUUAUUAGGGAAGAACAAAUGUGUAAGUAACUAUGCACGUCUUGACGGUACCUAAUCAGAAAGCCACGGCUAACUACGUG